AUUGAACGCUGGCGGCAGGCCUAACACAUGCAAGUCGAACGGUAACAGGAAGAAGCUUGCUUCUUUGCUGACGAGUGGCGGACGGGUGAGUAAUGUCUGGGAAACUGCCUAAUGGAGGGGGAUAACUACUGGAAACGGUAGCUAAUACCGCAUAACGUCGCAAGACCAAAGAGGGGGACCUUCUGGCCUCUUGCCAUCGGAUGUGCCCAGAUGGGAUUAGCUUGUUGGUGGGGUAACGGCUCACCAAGGCGACGAUCCCUAGCUGGUCUGAGAGGAUGACCAGCCACACUGGAACUGAGACACGGUCCAGACUCCUACGGGAGGCAGCAGUGGGGAAUAUUGCACAAUGGGCGCAAGCCUGAUGCAGCCAUGCCGCGUGUAUGAAGAAGGCCUUCGGGUUGUAAAGUACUUUCAGCGGGGAGGAAGGGAGUAAAGUUAAUACCUUUGCUCAUUGACGUUACCCGCAGAAGAAGCACCGGCUAACUCCGUG
Molecule: ribosomal RNA, 490 nt
Filed under: uncultured bacterium
Lineage: Bacteria
Description: partial 16S ribosomal RNA
Rfam family: Bacterial small subunit ribosomal RNA
Source: RNAcentral